CCUACGGGCGGCAGCAGUGGGGAAUAUUGCACAAUGGGGGAAACCCUGAUGCAGCGACGCCGCGUGAGUGAAGAAGUCUUUCGGGAUGUAAAGCUCUAUUAGCAGGGAAGAAAAUGACGGUACCUGAGUAAGAAGCCCAGGCUAACUACGUGCCAGCAGCCGCGGUAAUAAGCAGGGGGCAAGCGUUAUCCGGAUUUACUGGGUGUAAAGGGAGCGUAGACGGCAGCACAAGUCUGGAGUGAAAUGCCGGGGCUUAACCCCGGAACUGCUUUGGAAACUGUGCAGCUAGAGUGCAGGAGAGGUAAGUGGAAUUCCUAGUGUAGCGGUGAAAUGCGUAGAUAUUAGGAGGAACACCAGUGGCGAAGGCGGCUUACUGGACUGUAACUGACGUUGAGGCUCGAAAGCGUGGGGAGCAAACAGGAUUAGAUACCCCUGUAGUC
This 440-nucleotide ribosomal RNA is filed under the name uncultured bacterium. Its description in RNAcentral is "partial 16S ribosomal RNA". It matches the Rfam family "Bacterial small subunit ribosomal RNA", at positions 338 to 795 of the family's 1533-position model. The record is from RNAcentral.